RNAcentral lists this ribosomal RNA (253 nucleotides) under uncultured bacterium. RNAcentral's name for it is "partial 16S ribosomal RNA". It matches the Rfam family "Bacterial small subunit ribosomal RNA", at positions 524 to 776 of the family's 1533-position model. The record is from RNAcentral.
UACGUAGGGCGCAAGCGUUGUCCGGAAUUAUUGGGCGUAAAGAGCUCGUAGGCGGUCUGUCGCGUCUGCCGUGAAAACCCGAGGCUUAACCUCGGGCUGGCGGUGGAUACGGGCAGACUAGGGGUAGGUAGGGGAGAAUGGAAUUCCCGGUGUAGCGGUGAAAUGCGCAGAUAUCGGGAGGAACACCGGUGGCGAAGGCGGUUCUCUGGGCCUUACCUGACGCUGAGGAGCGAAAGCGUGGGGAGCGAACAGG